This 302-nucleotide ribosomal RNA is filed under the name Alternaria solani. Its description in RNAcentral is "eukaryotic LSU rRNA". The stretch from base 1 to 122 matches the Rfam family "5.8S ribosomal RNA", at positions 35 to 154 of the family's 154-position model. Lineage: Eukaryota; Fungi; Ascomycota; Dothideomycetes; Pleosporales; Pleosporaceae. The record is from RNAcentral.
GAUGAAGAACGCAGGCGAAAUGGCGAUAAGUAGUGUGAAUUGCAGAAUUCAGUGAAUCAUCGAAUCUUUGAACGCACAUUGCGCCCUUUGGUAUUCCAAAGGGCAUGCCUGUUCGAGCGUAAUUUGUACCCUCAAGCUUUGCUUGGUGUUGGGCGUCUUGUCUCUAGCUUUGCUGGAGACUCGCCUUAAAGUAAUUGGCAGCCGGCCUACUGGUUUCGGAGCGCAGCACAAGUCGCACUCUCUAUCAGCAAAGGUCUAGCAUCCAUUAACCUUUUUUCACUUUGACCUCGACAGUAGGAACC